CAUAGCGUUGUGGACCCACCUGAUUCCAUGCCGAACUCAGAAGUGAAACACAAUAGCGCCGAUGGUAGUGUGGGGCUUCCCCAUGUGAGAGUAGGACAUCGCCAGGC
Molecule: ribosomal RNA, 107 nt
Filed under: Vibrio sp. T187
Lineage: Bacteria; Pseudomonadati; Pseudomonadota; Gammaproteobacteria; Vibrionales; Vibrionaceae
Source: RNAcentral